ACAUAUAAACAACAUUUGUUGAAUUAUGUUAAGCAUUUCUACAUGACCGAUUGUUCUAUUAUUUAAAAGUUUGUUGUUGAAGUGCUAGAACAUACAGAAGUAUUUGAUAGAUGUGAUAGAAAUUUCCAUUUCUAUUUAAAAGUUUAGAAA
Molecule: non-coding RNA, 150 nt
Organism: Caenorhabditis elegans
Lineage: Eukaryota; Metazoa; Nematoda; Chromadorea; Rhabditida; Rhabditidae
Source: Ensembl